AAAGGAAUAGACGGGGGCCCGCACAAGCGGUGGAGCAUGUGGUUUAAUUCGAUGAUACGCGAGGAACCUUACCAGGGCUUAAAUGUGUUUUGACCGAUUUGGAAACAGAUCUUUCGCAAGACAAAAUACAAGGUGCUGCAUGGUUGUCGUCAGCUCGUGCCGUGAGGUGUCAGGUUAAGUCCUAUAACGAGCGCAACCCCUUUUGUUAGUUGCCAUCGAGUCAUGUCGGGAACUCUAACAAGACUGCCAGUGUAAACUGCGAGGAAGGUGGGGAUGACGUCAAAUCAUCACGGCCCUUACGUCCUGGGCCACACACGUGCUACAAUGGCCGGUACAGAGAGCAGCCACUGGGCGACCAGGUGCGAAUCUUUAAAACCGGUCUCAGUUCGGAUUGGAGUCUGCAACUCGACUCUAUGAAGCUGGAAUCGCUAGUAAUCGGAUAUCAGCCAUGAUCCGGUGAAUACGUUCCCGGGCCUUGUACACACCGCCCGU
Molecule: ribosomal RNA, 492 nt
Filed under: uncultured bacterium
Lineage: Bacteria
Description: bacterial SSU rRNA
Rfam family: Bacterial small subunit ribosomal RNA
Source: RNAcentral